UUCCUAUGCUACCGGCAACCACCUACACGUAGGUGGGUUUCUUGGCAUAGAAAAGCAGUUUACAACCCUAGGGCCGUCAUCCUGCACGCGGGAUAGCUGGUUCAGCCUUGCGGCCAUUGACCAAUAUUCCUCA
RNAcentral lists this ribosomal RNA (133 nucleotides) under uncultured bacterium. RNAcentral describes it as "partial 16S ribosomal RNA". The record is from RNAcentral.